ACCUAGGGGACAUCACCUUCGCCCACAUUGGGCGGUUCGUAGACGACAUAGUGACCGUGAGCGAGGAGGAGAUCGUGGACGCCAUGCGCAGGCUGGCCUAUAAGGCACGGCUUGUGGUGGAGCCUAGCCGAGCCGCGGCAUUCGCAAGCUACCUAUACCGUAGAGACGAGCUCCCUUCAACCCGCCUGAAUGUG
Molecule: unclassified non-coding RNA, 194 nt
Filed under: plant metagenome
Description: partial contains 5.8S ribosomal RNA, internal transcribed spacer 2, and large subunit ribosomal RNA
Source: RNAcentral